RNAcentral lists this ribosomal RNA (467 nucleotides) under uncultured bacterium. Its description in RNAcentral is "bacterial SSU rRNA". It matches the Rfam family "Bacterial small subunit ribosomal RNA", at positions 355 to 825 of the family's 1533-position model. The record is from RNAcentral.
UGAGGAAUAUUGGACAAUGGGCGCAAGCCUGAUCCAGCCAUGCCGCGUGCAGGAUGACGGUCCUAUGGAUUGUAAACUGCUUUUGUACAGGAAGAAACAGUUCUACGUGUAGAACCUUGACGGUACUGUAAGAAUAAGGAUCGGCUAACUCCGUGCCAGCAGCCGCGGUAAUACGGAGGAUCCAAGCGUUAUCCGGAAUCAUUGGGUUUAAAGGGUCCGUAGGCGGUUAGAUAAGUCAGUGGUGAAAGCCCAUCGCUCAACGGUGGAACGGCCAUUGAUACUGUCUGACUUGAAUUAUUAGGAAGUAACUAGAAUAUGUAGUGUAGCGGUGAAAUGCUUAGAGAUUACAUGGAAUACCAAUUGCGAAGGCAGGUUACUACUAAUGGAUUGACGCUGAUGGACGAAAGCGUGGGUAGCGAACAGGAUUAGAUACCCGGGUAGUCCCUGAGCGGGCUGGCAAGGCGCAU